UGGGGAAUAUUGCACAAUGGGCGCAAGCCUGAUGCAGCCAUGCCGCGUGUGUGAAGAAGGCCUUCGGGUUGUAAAGCACUUUCAGCGAGGAGGAAGGGUAGUGUGUUAAUAGCACAUUGCAUUGACGUUACUCGCAGAAGAAGCACCGGCUAACUCCGUGCCAGCAGCCGCGGUAAUACGGAGGGUGCAAGCGUUAAUCGGAAUUACUGGGCGUAAAGCGCACGCAGGCGGUUUGUUAAGUCAGAUGGGAAAUCCCCGCUCUUAACGUGGGAACUGCAUUUGAAACUGGCAAGCUAGAGUCUUGUAGAGGGGGGUAGAAUUCCAGGUGUAGCGGUGAAAUGCGUAGAGAUCUGGAGGAAUACCGGUGGCGAAGGCGGCCCCCUGGACAAAGACUGACGCUCAGGUGCGAAAGCGUGGGGAGCAAACA
Molecule: ribosomal RNA, 427 nt
Filed under: uncultured bacterium
Lineage: Bacteria
Description: partial 16S ribosomal RNA
Rfam family: Bacterial small subunit ribosomal RNA
Source: RNAcentral